GAUGAACGCUGGCGGCGUGCUUAACACAUGCAAGUCGAACGAUGAAGCCCAGCUUGCUGGGUGGAUUAGUGGCGAACGGGUGAGUAACACGUGAGUAUACUGCCCUUGACUCUGGGAUAAGCCUGGGAAAAUGGGUCUAUUACUGGAUAUGACUUCUCAUCGCAUGGUGGGGGGUGGAGAGAUUUACUGGUCUUGGAUGGACUCGCGGCCUAUCAGCUUGUUGGUGAGGUAAUGGCUCACCAAGGCGACGACGGGUAGCCGGCCUGAGAGGGUGACCGGCCACACUGGGACUGAGACACGGCCCAGACUCCUACGGGAGGCAGCAGUGGGGAAUAUUGCACAAUGGGCGCAAGCCUGAUGCAGCGACGCCGCGUGAGGGAUGACGGCCUUCGGGUUGUAAACCUCUUUCAGUAGGGAAGAAGCGAGAGUGACGGUACCUGCAGAAGAAGCGCCGGCUAACUACGUG
This 466-nucleotide ribosomal RNA is filed under the name uncultured bacterium. Its description in RNAcentral is "partial 16S ribosomal RNA". It matches the Rfam family "Bacterial small subunit ribosomal RNA", at positions 28 to 507 of the family's 1533-position model. The record is from RNAcentral.